This is a small nucleolar RNA of Gossypium raimondii (Peruvian cotton), 104 nucleotides long. It matches the Rfam family "Plant small nucleolar RNA R71". Rfam says of the family: R71 is a member of the C/D box family of snoRNAs containing the C (UGAUGA) and D (CUGA) box motifs. The record is from Rfam. Lineage: Eukaryota; Viridiplantae; Streptophyta; Magnoliopsida; Malvales; Malvaceae.
AUGUGAUGAGGUUAUCUUCAUAAUAGUUCUUUAAUACUGUCCCACGCCUCAUACAAAGACUUAUCAUCCAACUGUUGGAAGGUAGUAAUCUCAUUCCUCAACUU